This 253-nucleotide ribosomal RNA is filed under the name uncultured bacterium. RNAcentral's name for it is "partial 16S ribosomal RNA". It matches the Rfam family "Bacterial small subunit ribosomal RNA", at positions 524 to 776 of the family's 1533-position model. The record is from RNAcentral.
UACGUAGGGUGCGAGCGUUGUCCGGAAUUAUUGGGCGUAAAGGGCUCGUAGGCGGUUUGUCGCGUCGGGAGUGAAAACUCAGGGCUUAACCCUGAGCCUGCUUCCGAUACGGGCAGACUAGAGGUAUGCAGGGGAGAACGGAAUUCCUGGUGUAGCGGUGGAAUGCGCAGAUAUCAGGAGGAACACCGGUGGCGAAGGCGGGUCUCUGGGCCAUUACUGACGCUGAGGAGCGAAAGCGUGGGGAGCGAACAGG